This 496-nucleotide ribosomal RNA is filed under the name uncultured bacterium. Its description in RNAcentral is "partial 16S ribosomal RNA". It matches the Rfam family "Bacterial small subunit ribosomal RNA", at positions 28 to 507 of the family's 1533-position model. The record is from RNAcentral.
GAUGAACGCUGGCGGCGUGCCUAAUACAUGCAAGUCGAGCGAACAGACGAGGAGCUUGCUCCUCUGACGUUAGCGGCGGACGGGUGAGUAACACGUGGAUAACCUACCUAUAAGACUGGGAUAACUUCGGGAAACCGGAGCUAAUACCGGAUAAUAUAUUGAACCGCAUGGUUCAAUAGUGAAAGACGGUUUUGCUGUCACUUAUAGAUGGAUCCGCGCCGCAUUAGCUAGUUGGUAAGGUAACGGCUUACCAAGGCAACGAUGCGUAGCCGACCGGAGAGGGGAUCGGGCAACCGGGAACUGAGACACGGUCCAGACUCCUACGGGAGGCAGCAGUAGGGAAUCUUCCGCAAUGGGCGAAAGCCUGACGGAGCAACGCCGCGUGAGUGAUGAAGGUCUUCGGAUCGUAAAACUCUGUUAUUAGGGAAGAACAAAUGUGUAAGUAACUAUGCACGUCUUGACGGUACCUAAUCAGAAAGCCACGGCUAACUACGUG